GAUGAAGGAGGUGGGAAUCUACCGCUUCUAGAAUGCAAGCUUAUCCUUGACUUUUUUUUAUAGCUCUGAAAAAGGUUUUUGGAUGAAGUAAUCGGAGUGACAAAUGGUUAGGACUGAUGACUACACUGAGGACAAUGAUGAUAUAGGGCCAUUGGAUUAUUCAUUCGGAUACGAUACUGGUUAGUGUGAGGCUUCAUUCACAUCCUGGAUUUAUCGAGACCAGAAAGAGGAGGGCGGACUUGUAGUGACUCUUUUCAAGGCCUUGAAUUUAGAUUUUGUACUUAAUUGGCUAGAUUAGUUUAGUGUGGAUUGUCCGUCCCCUCUUCAACAUUUCUACUACUUCCUUGCCUCCCCCUUUUCAGGGAUCGAAGUCAAAGGAUGGGAACAAGUUCAGGGAACCGAGGGUCAGAACAUAUAGGUCUUAUUGGUUGGCAUGGCUUGAAGGCUAGAUCUAGUAUGAAGCGUUGAAGGCAAAGGCAAGACGAAUCGACCGCACCCCUAGGCCUUCUUCCCCUAAUUAGGUAAGUCUGGCUACUGAUUAGCAAGAUUCGCAGGGGAAGCGAAGUCACUAACUAGUCUUCAUGAGCUUGUAAGGAUCCCAUGCGUUGAUCAAUGUUCAAGGAAAGGAAUGAGGAAGGGUAAAAGAUGAAGAAGAGCUAUUCUUUUUAAGAGCGCGUUCACAGUCGACUCAAAAAGAGGGGUCACUCCCUGGCAUAAGCCAUGGCCUUCCGUUAACUGGUACCACUGUAUUCAUGAAUUUAAUUCACCGUGAAUGCAUGUACUUAGUGUUUUCUAUCAUUUAAAUUUUGAAUAUAGACUCAAUUUCUAUUAUUAUUAAGUAGUAUAAAUAAAAUGAAUCAAAUUUAAAUUACAUAAAUUUAAUUAUUCAUGAAUCUAUGAUCAAUAAGUCCAAUUAAUUGUAGAUGAAUGUAUUUAAAUUAUUCAUGAACUUAGUUAUCUAAUUUUUAUCUGCAAGGCUCUAGAAUUGUAACAUUUGGCAUGAUAAGUAAGCACUUUUUUUUACAAGGUAUUAUUUUGUGUUCAUAUUGGUUAGCUCUAGUUAUUCAAGCCUACCUAUCCUCCCUUUUAAAUUCUAAUUAAUAAUAAUAAAUAUAUUAUUAAAACCUGUUUCCCUAAACGUAUUAAGCUUUAUGUUGGAAUGCCAAAGGUAGCUCUUAAGUCAAUUAGAUCCCUUUUUCAUUGAAUUUGACAUUAUUCUUUGGUAUUCCUCAAUUCAAAACAAUGAAUCCCAUUUACUAACCACAAAGUUCCAGCCUUCAAUACAAGAGACUAUUUGUAUGACCAAAAAUAAUUUCUCAUUUUCUAUCACCCAAAAAAUGUCUCCCCUCCUAUCUGUUGAAAUUGGUAGUUUUAAAGAAAAAAACAAAAUUGAUCUCAGAAACAUACUGAGUUUGACAUUUUUCCUCAAAGAAAAGCUUUGCUUGGAGCUCAAAACAACAAAGGCUAGGAAAUCUCUUCAAUUUCAUCCACAAUGAAACUUUAC
RNAcentral lists this long non-coding RNA (1504 nucleotides) under Durio zibethinus. Its description in RNAcentral is "long non-coding RNA (DZIB_LNC002452)". Lineage: Eukaryota; Viridiplantae; Streptophyta; Magnoliopsida; Malvales; Malvaceae. The record is from RNAcentral.